RNAcentral lists this ribosomal RNA (497 nucleotides) under uncultured bacterium. RNAcentral describes it as "partial 16S ribosomal RNA". It matches the Rfam family "Bacterial small subunit ribosomal RNA", at positions 28 to 507 of the family's 1533-position model. The record is from RNAcentral.
GAUGAACGCUGGCGGCGUGCCUAAUACAUGCAAGUCGAGCGAACGGACGAGAAGCUUGCUUUUCUGAUGUUAGCGGCGGACGGGUGAGUAACACGUGGAUAACCUACCUAUAAGACUGGGAUAACUUCGGGAAACCGGAGCUAAUACCGGAUAAUCUUUUGAACCGCAUGGUUCAAAAGUGAAAGACGGUCUUGCUGUCACUUAUAGAUGGAUCCGCGCUGCAUUAGCUAGUUGGUAAGGUAACGGCUUACAAAGGCAACGAUGCAUAGCCGACCUGAGAGGGUGAUCGGCCACACUGGAACUGAGACACGGUCCAGACUCCUACGGGAGGCAGCAGUAGGGAAUCUUCCGCAAUGGUCGAAAGCCUUACAGAGCAACGCCGCGUGAGUGAUGAAGGUCUUCGGAUCGUAAAACUCUGUUAUUAGGGAAGAACAUAUGUGUAAGUAACUGUGCACAUCUUGACGGUACCUAAUCAGAAAGCCACGGCUAACUACGUG